CCUACGGGACGCAGCAGUGGGGGAUAUUGCACAAUGGGGGGAACCCUGAUGCAGCGACGCCGCGUGAGCGAAGAAGUACCUCGGUAUGUAAAGCUCUAUCAGCAGGGAAGAAAAUGACGGUACCUGACUAAGAAGCCCCGGCUAAAUACGUGCCAGCAGCCGCGGUAAUACGUAUGGGGCAAGCGUUAUCCGGAUUUACUGGGUGUAAAGGGAGCGCAGGCGGCCUGCCAAGUCUGGUGUGAAAACCCGGGGCCCAACCCCGGGACUGCUCUGGAAACUGCCAUGCUAGAGUGCUGGAGAGGUAA
RNAcentral lists this ribosomal RNA (305 nucleotides) under uncultured bacterium. RNAcentral's name for it is "bacterial SSU rRNA". It matches the Rfam family "Bacterial small subunit ribosomal RNA", at positions 338 to 660 of the family's 1533-position model. The record is from RNAcentral.